Molecule: ribosomal RNA, 508 nt
Filed under: uncultured bacterium
Lineage: Bacteria
Description: partial 16S ribosomal RNA
Rfam family: Bacterial small subunit ribosomal RNA
Source: RNAcentral
GAUGAACGCUAGCUACAGGCUUAACACAUGCAAGUCGAGGGGAAACGAUAGAGAAAGCUUGCUUUUUCUAGGCGUCGACCGGCGCACGGGUGAGUAACGCGUAUCCAACCUGCCCAUCACUUGGGGAUAACCUUGCGAAAGUAAGACUAAUACCCAAUGAUAUCUCUAGAAGACAUCUGAAAGGGAUUAAAGAUUUAUCGGUGAUGGAUGGGGAUGCGUCUGAUUAGCUUGUUGGCGGGGUAACGGCCCACCAAGGCGACGAUCAGUAGGGGUUCUGAGAGGAAGGUCCCCCACAUUGGAACUGAGACACGGUCCAAACUCCUACGGGAGGCAGCAGUGAGGAAUAUUGGUCAAUGGACGAGAGUCUGAACCAGCCAAGUAGCGUGCAGGAUGACGGCCCUAUGGGUUGUAAACUGCUUUUAUAAGGGAAUAAAGUGAGCCUCGUGAGGCUUUUUGCAUGUACCUUAUGAAUAAGGACCGGCUAAUUCCGUGCCAGCAGCCGCCGUAA